GCAUAUCAAUAAGCGGAGGAAAAGAAACUAACAAGGAUUCCCCUAGUAACUGCGAGUGAAGCGGGAAGAGCUCAAAUUUAAAAUCUGGCAGCUCUGCUGUCCGAGUUGUAAUCUGUAGAAGCAUUUUCUGCAUUGGACUGUGUACAAGUCUCUUGGAAUAGAGCGUCAUAGAGGGUGAGAAUCCCGUCCAUGACACAGACUACCAAUGCUUUGUGAUAUGCUCUCAAAGAGUCGAGUUGUUUGGGAAUGCAGCUCAAAAUGGGUGGUAAAUUCCAUCUAAAGCUAAAUACAGGCGAGAGACCGAUAGCGAACAAGUACCGUGAGGGAAAGAUGAAAAGCACUUUGGAAAGAGAGUUAAAUAGUACGUGAAAUUGUUGAAAGGGAAACGCUUGAAGUCAGUUGCAUUCUGCAGAACUCAGCCUUGGCCUUUAAUUAGGCCUGGUAUAUUUCCUGCAGGAUGGGUCAACAUCAAUUUUGGCUAGUGGAUAAAGGAGGAGGGAAUGUGGCAUCUGUAAAGGUGUGUUAUAGCCCUCUUUCAUAUACAUUGGCUGGGAUUGAGGAUUGCAGCAUGCCCUUGUGGCCAGGCUUCAUGUCACAUGCU
This 601-nucleotide ribosomal RNA is filed under the name uncultured Coltriciella. Its description in RNAcentral is "eukaryotic LSU rRNA". It matches the Rfam family "Eukaryotic large subunit ribosomal RNA", at positions 38 to 634 of the family's 3401-position model. The record is from RNAcentral. Lineage: Eukaryota; Fungi; Basidiomycota; Agaricomycetes; Hymenochaetales; Hymenochaetaceae.